Molecule: unclassified non-coding RNA, 241 nt
Filed under: fungal sp.
Lineage: Eukaryota; Fungi
Description: partial internal transcribed spacer region
Rfam family: Eukaryotic small subunit ribosomal RNA (bases 1-46)
Source: RNAcentral
AAGUCAUAACAAGGUUUCUGUAGGUGAACCUGCAGAAGGAUCAUUAUUGAACAACCGGGGUCCUCGCUCGCGAGCUCCCCAACCCUUCAUUCAUAUCCACACACCUGUGCACCGUCGAAGGCCCGCGAGGGCUGCCGGCACCAUAUCUAUUACAAACACCUGAGAAAAGUAUGAUGUUAUUUGAACCGGCCUGGCCGGAGAUACAAAAAAUAACUUUCGACAACGGAUCUCUUGGUUCUCC